Molecule: ribosomal RNA, 423 nt
Filed under: uncultured bacterium
Lineage: Bacteria
Description: bacterial SSU rRNA
Rfam family: Bacterial small subunit ribosomal RNA
Source: RNAcentral
GGGGAAUCUUGGACAAUGGGCGCAAGCCUGAUCCAGCCACGCCGCGUGAGUGAUGAAGGCCUUCGGGUCGUAAAGCUCUGUGGGGAGAGACGAACCGCCGGCGGUUAAUACCCGACGGCAUGACGGUACCUCCUUAGCAAGCACCGGCUAACUUCGUGCCAGCAGCCGCGGUAAGCCGAAGGGGGCUAGCGUUGUUCGGAAUUACUGGGCGUAAAGCGAGUGUAGGUGGUUUGCCAAGUCGGGUGUGAAAGCCUUGAGCUCAACUCAAGAAAUGCACUCGUUACUGGCAGACUAGAGGACCGGAGAGGAUAGUGGAAUUCCCAGUGUAGUGGUGAAAUACGUAGAGAUUGGGAAGAACACCAGUGGCGAAGGCGGCUAUCUGGACGGUUUCUGACACUAAGACUCGAAAGCGUGGGGAGCAAA